UGAUAGUCUUUUUUGCCUAAUCUGAACCAC
RNAcentral lists this non-coding RNA (30 nucleotides) under Rattus norvegicus (Norway rat). Lineage: Eukaryota; Metazoa; Chordata; Mammalia; Rodentia; Muridae. The record is from RNAcentral.